This 283-nucleotide unclassified non-coding RNA is filed under the name Funneliformis mosseae. RNAcentral describes it as "partial contains 5.8S ribosomal RNA and internal transcribed spacer 2". The stretch from base 1 to 71 matches the Rfam family "5.8S ribosomal RNA", at positions 84 to 154 of the family's 154-position model. Lineage: Eukaryota; Fungi; Glomeromycota; Glomeromycetes; Glomerales; Glomeraceae. The record is from RNAcentral.
GUGAAUCAUCAAAUCUUUGAACGCAAAUGGCACUCCCUGGGAUUCCGGGGAGUAUGCCUGUUUGAGGGUCGGUAGAACAAAAAUCGAAGCGGCGCUCUUUUUUUUAAGGGUGAUCGCGUCGGAAUUGAGCCGUCUUUCAAGUGUUAAUGCAUGUCAAAGUGGCUUAAAAUGCAUCCAUCCGGUACGAGUAAAGCGUAUUUAAGAUCAAUUUUGAUUAAGAACGCGCGAUGAACGUACCAUCUCAUGUAGUACGUUUGGCCUGGGUCGUCAUGAUCAUUCGUAU